GAUGAGCGCUGGCGGCGUGCCUAAUACAUGCAAGUCGAGCGAGCAGACGAGGAGCUUGCUCCUCUGACGUUAGCGGCGGACGGGUGAGUAACACGUGGAUAACCUACCUAUAAGACUGGGAUAACUUCGGGAAACCGGAGCUAAUACCGGAUAAUAUAUUGAACCGCAUGGUUCAAUAGUGAAAGACGGUUUUGCUGUCACUUAUAGAUGGAUCCGCGCCGCAUUAGCUAGUUGGUAAGGUAACGGCUUACCAAGGCGACGAUGCGUAGCCGACCUGAGAGGGUGAUCGGCCAUACUGGAACUGAGACACGGUCCAGACUCCUACGGGAGGCAGCAGUAGGGAAUCUUCCGCAAUGGGCGAAAGCCUGACGGAGCAACGCCGCGUGAGUGAUGAAGGUCUUCGGAUCGUAAAACUCUGUUAUUAGGGAAGAACAAAUGUGUAAGUAACUAUGCACGUCUUGACGGUACCUAAUCAGAAAGCCACGGCUAACUACGUG
Molecule: ribosomal RNA, 497 nt
Filed under: uncultured bacterium
Lineage: Bacteria
Description: partial 16S ribosomal RNA
Rfam family: Bacterial small subunit ribosomal RNA
Source: RNAcentral